UUUAUUGGAGAGUUUGAUCCUGGCUCAGGAUGAACGCUGGCGGCGUGCCUAAUACAUGCAAGUCGAGCGAAUGGAUUAAGAGCUUGCUCUUAUGAAGUUAGCGGCGGACGGGUGAGUAACACGUGGGUAACCUGCCCAUAAGACU
This 145-nucleotide ribosomal RNA is filed under the name Bacillus thuringiensis. RNAcentral describes it as "partial 16S ribosomal RNA". It matches the Rfam family "Bacterial small subunit ribosomal RNA", at positions 1 to 139 of the family's 1533-position model. Lineage: Bacteria; Bacillati; Bacillota; Bacilli; Caryophanales; Bacillaceae. The record is from RNAcentral.